Molecule: ribosomal RNA, 414 nt
Filed under: uncultured beta proteobacterium
Lineage: Bacteria; Pseudomonadati; Pseudomonadota; Betaproteobacteria
Also listed under: 1 other name
Description: bacterial SSU rRNA
Rfam family: Bacterial small subunit ribosomal RNA
Source: RNAcentral
AACGCGAAGAACCUUACCAAGGCUUGACAUCCCAGGAAUCCGCUAGAAACAGUGGAGUGCCUUCGGGAAUCUGGUGACAGGUGCUGCAUGGCCGUCGUCAGCUCGUGUCGUGAGAUGUUGGGUUAAGUCCCGCAACGAGCGCAACCCUUGUCGUAUGUUGUAUUUUUCAUACGAGACUGCCCGGGCCAACCGGGAGGAAGGUGAGGAUGACGUCAGGUCAGCAUGGCCCUUACGCCUUGGGCUACACACGUCAUACAAUGGCCGGUACAACGCGUUGCCAACCCGCGAGGGGGAGCUAAUCGCACCAAAACCGGUCCCAGUUCGGAUUGGAGGCUGCAACUCGCCUCCAUGAAGUCGGAAUCGCUAGUAACCGUGGGUCAGCAUACCGCGGUGAAUACGUUCCCGGGCCUUGUA